Dipodomys spectabilis (banner-tailed kangaroo rat) is the source of this 97-nucleotide long non-coding RNA. RefSeq lists it as uncharacterized. The transcript has 3 exons. Lineage: Eukaryota; Metazoa; Chordata; Mammalia; Rodentia; Heteromyidae. The record is from RefSeq and is a predicted model, not a curated record.
UGUGCCAAACAGGAAAACAAAACCAAGUUGACCAAUCUAAUUUUUGCACACAGUCAUUUUCUCCAUAGAACAGAAGUCCUCAUGAGAACAGGAGGUU